CUUGCUGAGGGAGAAGGGCCUGGCUGCCUGGAAGCUGAGUGAGUACCUGAGGUGGAGCGGAGCUGGGGAUCUCUGGCCCGGAAACCUCCCAGGCUUCAGGCCUAGAGUAAGGCCAACGAGGGGAAAGCAGGAUCUCCCAAAUUCAACCCUUAUUUUGGCUUCUGAGUUGGCAGGAUGCAAUGAUACAGAUUCCAGAUGAGGAAGCUAGAUAUAAUGAGUUUUCAAGAAUCUGCUAUUAUUGCUCAGACUUUCUCGAAAGUGACAGUCUUUGACAGAGACCAAGCAUGAAUAACUUCAGCCCAAAAUUCCAGAAUCCUAUGGAAAGUUGUGCUUUGUAUUUGAAACAGAGGGUUGCUCUUUAGUGAAAAUGUUUACAACCUUAAUUGUUUGAGCAUUACAUGUACCUGAUAUAGUAAUGUACCUUGUAUAUGACAUUUCAAUAAACUUUAAAUUCAGGUGCAGCAAAAUGGAAAUAAAGUAGAAUUCUCAGGCCAGCCAAAGAAUAAGCUGCUUAAAGAAUAUGUUCCUCAUCAUCAAAUAAAAAAAAUACAAUUAAACCCUUGUCUAUCGUAGACAUUUCUGUAAAUAGAUCUGCUUUAUUAAUAUAAAUAUCUAGCUUUUAUAGUGCUUCAGUUGAUCUCAAAGAACUUUAUGUAGGAGGCAAGUAUCCCUAUUGCUGUUUGACAGAUGAGGAAACUGAGAAAGGGCAUGAAGUGACUUGUCCAAGGUCACCCUGAAUCUCAGUGGCAGAGUUAGGAAUAAAGCCCAGUCUCCUGUGUACUAGUCCAUUGAUCUAGCCACUAGGCCACAUGGCAAAUCCACUAAGCACCAUGCCUUUAGCACCACAUUAUUAAUGUUUUAGUUUUCAUACAAUCUGUAUGCUGUUGGCUCUUGGGACCCCAAAGAUUGAAUUUGCUAGAAGAAUGCUUUUUAAUGGGUCAUGCA
Chelonia mydas (Green sea turtle) is the source of this 945-nucleotide long non-coding RNA. RefSeq lists it as uncharacterized. Lineage: Eukaryota; Metazoa; Chordata; Testudines; Cheloniidae. The record is from RefSeq and is a predicted model, not a curated record. The transcript is spliced from 3 exons.